This is a long non-coding RNA of Amphiprion ocellaris (clown anemonefish), 1855 nucleotides long. The record is from Ensembl. Lineage: Eukaryota; Metazoa; Chordata; Actinopteri; Pomacentridae.
GUUUUUAGGUUUAACCCCACAGUUUCUGAAUGAACUGAUAGUUUGUUUUUUUUUCCUGAUCAAUGUGGAUGUUAUAAUUGAUGGUAACAUUUACUGAUCAUAUAAUCAGCAUGACAAUAUAACAGUAUAACAUUAUGACCACCUGACUAAUACUGUGUUGGUCCCUUUAUGCUGCUAAAACUCCUCUGACCCAGUGGUUCAUCAGAACCUCUGGGGAUGUCCUGUGGAUUCUGUGGAUCCUGUGGGUUGCAGGGUGGGUCCUACCUAGACCAGGCUGAUCCUGGACCAUCCCACAGAUGCUCCAUCAGAUGUGGAUGUGGGGAGUGUGGAACCCAGAUGUUCAGAGGGAGAUGAUGCCACAUCUGGUCCAGCUGAUGGAAGGUCUUGAAGUUCUCUGACUGGCCUCGACUGAAGAUGGUCGUCUCACUGGAUUUAAGAGAUGCACAAUGAGGGACGUCUGCAGCGACUGAGAAAGAGUCUCACCACAUCCUGACAUGAGGAAAAAGACUUUUUUGAAGACUACAAUGAGAAAAACUAUCAGACAGCAGACGGCUGCAUUCAAGAGAGGAAGACCAUCAAACAUCCACAUCAGCUGAUGGAGGUCCAAGAGUCUCACCAAACAAACAACCUACAGAGUGAAGACCUCAAAUCUGAUUGGACGGCCUCCUAUUCAGCCACAUUUUAGGCUGUUAGAUUGUUCCAGAUAAGACAAGUACAAGAUUCUUCAGAGCCGUUCUACCACGAGCCUGACAGGAAGAACUCCAACAGCUACUGAAUGUUCCUGUGGUCCCCUCAAGGCUACAGGAGGAGUCCUACGAGGACGAGCCGGUCCACCUGAUGGUGGCCAGUUGCUGCGGUUCAAAGCCAACACCGACUACGUGGACUUCUACUGGACCACACGGAGGCCUUCAAACCGGACCAACAAGUUCACCGACUCCCCGACUCGUGGGUCUGAGGACGCCGCCGAGCCUCGGUCCAGCCGGCCUCCUGUCUGUGGGUGUUUGAGUGCUGAGAGGUUUGUGGAUGCAUGUGAACGUGUCUGUGUUGAAACAGCAGCUUUUGACUCACUAACGCCGGGAAAACCCAAGAAUUCCUUUAUUUGUGACUUCCACUAAAAAAACUGAUGAAAAUAAGUUUGCCAGAGUUCUGACUGAUAACAGAUUAUUAAAUAAUGAUAAUAAUCGUUUAAAUAUUCCUUUAAACAAUCCUUUUAGGUCUACAUUUCCUUUACACUGACUUCUUGGUACAUGUACAAGUAUUUUGGGUGGAAUAUACCAAUAAGCCUAAUGUUCAAGGGUUUUUCUGGGAAUAUACCAUUAAACCAACCUUUUAGGUAAAUGUUCCAGGAUGUUGGGUAGAAUAUACCAUCAGAUAAACCUUUUAGGUCUACAUUGGAAAAUUUUAGAGUAGAAUAUUACUCCAAACUAUCCUUUAGGUCUACAUUUAAGGUGGAAUACUACUUUACACCAAGAUUUUUUUGGUCUACAUUGAAGGAUUUUAGGUGGAAUAUUCCUUUGAACAAACUUUUUAAGUUUAUGUUCAAGGAUGCUGGGUGGAAUAUACCAUCAGACCAACCUCCAAGGUCUACAGUAGUGAAUUUUAGGUGGAAUAAACCAUUAAACUCACCUUUUAGGUAUACAUUGGAGGAUUUAAGGUGGAAUUUUCUUCUAGACCAUCUUUUAGUCUGCAUUUAAGGAUGUUUAGGAUGGUAUAUUCUACUAAACCAACUUCUCAGGUCUACAUUUCAGGUGGAAUAUUCCUCCAUACUAACUUUUUUGGUCAACAUUGAAGGAUUUUUUCUAAACCACCCUUUCGGGUCUAUAUUUGAGGUUUUAGGUGGAAUAUUCCUUUUAAC